UAAUCAAGACUGCUUGCUGAACUAACAUGG
This 30-nucleotide non-coding RNA is filed under the name Rattus norvegicus (Norway rat). The record is from RNAcentral. Lineage: Eukaryota; Metazoa; Chordata; Mammalia; Rodentia; Muridae.